RNAcentral lists this ribosomal RNA (437 nucleotides) under uncultured bacterium. RNAcentral describes it as "partial 16S ribosomal RNA". It matches the Rfam family "Bacterial small subunit ribosomal RNA", at positions 29 to 507 of the family's 1533-position model. The record is from RNAcentral.
AGCGAACGCUGGCGGCAGGCUUAACACAUGCAAGUCGAGCGGGCAUCCUUGUGGUGUCAGCGGCAGACGGGUGAGUAACGCGUGGGAACGUGCCCUUCGGUUCGGAAUAACUCAGGGAAACUUGAGCUAAUACCGGAUACGUGCGAGAGCAGAAAGGUUUAUCUGCCGAAGGAUCGGCCCGCGUCUGAUUAGCUAGUUGGUGAGGUUAUGGCUCACCACGGCGACGAUCAGUAGCUGGUCUGAGAGGAUGAUCAGCCACACUGGGACUGAGACACGGCCCAGACUCCUACGGGAGGCAGGAGUGGGGAAUAUUGGACAAUGGGGGCAACCCUGAUCCAGCCAUGCCGCGUGAGUGAUGACGGCCUUAGGGUUGUAAAGCUCUUUUCUCCGGGACGAUAAUGACGGUACCGGAGGAAUAAGCCCCGGCUAACUUCGUG